Molecule: ribosomal RNA, 243 nt
Filed under: uncultured bacterium
Lineage: Bacteria
Description: partial 16S ribosomal RNA
Rfam family: Bacterial small subunit ribosomal RNA
Source: RNAcentral
ACGACCGGCGCACGGGUGAGUAACGCGUAUACAAUUUGCCUUUUACAGAAGAAUAGCCCAGAGAAAUUUGGAUUAAUGCUUCAUAGUAUUAUUUGGUCACCUGGCCGAGUAAUUAAAGCUCCGGCGGUAAAAGAUGAGUAUGCGUCCUAUUAGCUAGAUGGUAAGGUAACGGCUUACCAUGGCGACGAUAGGUAGGGGUCCUGAGAGGGAGAUCCCCCACACUGGUACUGAGACACGGACCAG